This 378-nucleotide ribosomal RNA is filed under the name uncultured eukaryote. RNAcentral describes it as "partial 18S ribosomal RNA". It matches the Rfam family "Eukaryotic small subunit ribosomal RNA", at positions 592 to 976 of the family's 1831-position model. The record is from RNAcentral.
CAAUAGCGUAUAUUAAAGUUGUUGCAGUUAAAAAGCUCGUAGUUGGAUUUGUGGUUCGUCCCGCCGGCUGGGUCAUUGACUUUUGCUGUGCUGGUCGUCCAUCCUUGGGUGGAAUCUGUGUGGCAUUAGGUUGUUGCGCAGGGGAUGCCCAUCGUUUACUGUGAAAAAAUUAGAGUGUUCAAAGCAGGCUUAUGCCGUUGAAUAUAUUAGCAUGGAAUAAUGAUAUAGGACCUUGGUACUAUUUUGUUGGUUUGCGCACUGAGGUAAUGAUUAAUAGGGACAGUUGGGGGUAUUCGUAUUCCAUUGUAAGAGGUGAAAUUCUUGGAUUUUUGGAAGACGAACUACUGCGAAAGCAUUUACCAAGGAUGUUUUCAUUAA